This 460-nucleotide ribosomal RNA is filed under the name uncultured bacterium. Its description in RNAcentral is "partial 16S ribosomal RNA". It matches the Rfam family "Bacterial small subunit ribosomal RNA", at positions 338 to 795 of the family's 1533-position model. The record is from RNAcentral.
CCUACGGGAGGCAGCAGUGAGGAAUAUUGGUCAAUGGACGAGAGUCUGAACCAGCCAAGUAGCGUGAAGGAUGACUGCCCUAUGGGUUGUAAACUUCUUUUAUAUGGGAAUAAAAUGUUCCACGUGUGGGAUUUUGUAUGUACCAUAUGAAUAAGGAUCGGCUAACUCCGUGCCAGCAGCCGAGGUAAUACGGAGGAUCCGAGCGUUAUCCGGAUUUAUUGGGUUUAAAGGGAGCGUAGGUGGAUUGUUAAGUCAGUUGUGAAAGUUUGCGGCUCAAACGUAAAAUUGCAGUUGAAACUGGCAGUCGUGAGUACAGUAGAGGUGGGCGGAAUUCGUGGUGUAGCGGUGAAAUGCUUAGAUAUCACGAAGAACUCCGAUUGCGAAGGCAGCUCACUGGACUGCAACUGACACUGAGGCUCGAAAGUGUGGGUAUCAAACAGGAUUAGAUACCCUGGUAGUC